Molecule: long non-coding RNA, 608 nt
Organism: Triticum dicoccoides
Lineage: Eukaryota; Viridiplantae; Streptophyta; Magnoliopsida; Poales; Poaceae
Exons: 3
Source: RefSeq, a predicted model, not a curated record
CUCCCGCACUCGCCCCUCCCCCGCGGCUAGCUCCUCCCGCCUCGCCUCUCUCUCUCCCUCCAAACCCUAGAACCUCAUCUGCGCCUCCCAGCCCCGCCGCCGUCCAGGUCCAGCCCCAUGCCGCCGUCGUCUUCUCGCCCAGCCGGCCGCCGCCGCACCGCACGAUCGUGCGCAAGGGUGAGAAGGGAACUACUGCCCGCUCCUGGAGCACGAGGAGGACGCGGUGAUGCGGCGCCCAGAUCCACGGUGACAUCGACGCGCCGUCAUCGACCUGAGCCGCCACCGUCCUCGAGGUCGGCCAUGGAGGGGGGUCCGACCCAGCUGCAGCCGUUGACGGAGACACCCCAAACCCUAGCACGGGGACCGAGCCGCCAUGGAAGGAGGCCAGCGGCGAGGACGACGCCAUGGUCCCUGCUGUGCUCCCGGAUCCGUCGCCCAUCUGCCCCGACCUGGCCCUUCUCCUUCCCGCCGGCCAAGCGGAGCCGCUCGUGUCGCUGCUCUACCUGACGAGGGCAUCGUGCUGAGCCCUGGAAAAUGAAUGGCUUCAAUGGUGGGUGCAUGUAUGGUCAGGGGAUUGUUUGGUCCAUGCAUGGAAGUGGACUGAUUAG